GCGGCAGCGGCGGCGGCGGCGGGGCGGAGACUGGAGCCCGCAGCGAGCGGCGGAGGCUGGAGGCGGCGGCAGCCAGACAGGAGCAGACGAUGAAGAAAACACUUAACAUUUCACAGAUACUGCAAGAAAAAAUAUGGCCCAGUUGAGUGAGGAAGAUUUAUGCAUGGAGAUGGAGAGAAGUCCACCUGAAGUUUUACUUCAUUCUGUUUUCUUCAUUCCUCCAUAAUAAGACAAAACACACUUCUGCAUCCCCGAAUACUUGGCAAAAUAGACUGGCAGGGUACAGAAAUGUAUUGCACAGUCUUCCCAGCCUCGAAGGGUUGAACAGAUUUUGGUACAGUAAACAGAAUCUUAAAGAAUUACACAUUUACAAAAGGAAUCCAUUGAAUUUAUUCACACAAAUGAGAAAAGCACUGCAAAGACAUGCAUUGUUCAUUUUUUCUGCUCUGCUAAGAUGUAUUCAUCUGUGCAUAAAUAGCUAAAAUUACUUGUGAAGCCAACAGAUGUGCCAAAAACCCACGCCCACAGAGAAGCCAGCUCAAGAAUGGUGCAUUUCCCAUGCAUGUUAGGUUCACAUUUCAGCCAACUGAUUCAGAGACAAUUCAACCAGAUUGCAGAACCUUUUUCAUUAUCAUUUAUGCAGGCUCCAAUUCCAGGAGCUUCAGAUACUCUUGAGAGGCACUGCAUAAAGCACAUGAAAACUACCUGCCUUGGGAAAGGGGGAAAGAGAGAGCUCAAGUCUUUGUUUAAAACACAGAAAAGAAUAUAAACACCAUUUAACAUAUUCAGGCACCGUGGUAAUGAGUUAUAGAUGGAUACAGUUAGAUUAAUCAGAAUUAGCUUUUUAAUACUUGUGGACUUUUUUACUCAGUUAUCUACUAUGGGGUUUUUUUUUGGCUUGGGUAAAGCCUCAUUUACAUCUUUACCUUAUUAGAUAUGACUCGUGCAUAUCUUAAAGCUUUUCAUUCCCUCCCAGUAGGGACACUUUCCUUCCCAAGAUUCUGAGACCACCUGUUUUUUGGUUCACAGUUUACCUCCCCCACAUUCCUUCUCUGUUUGCUUUACUGACUCCUCCAUCUGUGUCCCUUGGGGCUUUAUACUACAUCCUGUUCUCUGAUCUCUGCUCCUUGGCCCAUUUCUCCUCACAAAUACUUUGAAAAUAUGGCAAAUUACUUUUCUAACUUCUUGCCUUCCACAUCAGACUGAAGUCCUUUGGUCUCAUAUUCAGUGUUAUUUACAAUCUGUCUCCUAGCAGGAUGUCUGCCUGCCUGCCUGCCUGCCUUCUGUGUCCCAUUCCAAAGGGCAUACCUUUCCUUCAGGCUGCUGCUUCUGUGCAUUCUCACAUGCUACUACCUAUGCCAGCCACUCUUUUUCUUAACAACUCUACUGUGCUUUUGCUUUUUCUUCUUCAAAAUUCCUCCCUGGAAUUCACUAAUUCCAUAAAAUCCUCAGUCCAAGUCAUCCCUUUCAAAGAAAUAGGACCCAUAAAAAUGCAGGAUGAAUAAAGCAUGCCUAUCAUCAUAUGCAUUUGCUUUUAUAUUGGCCCUAUCCCCUUGCAUUUAUCAGUAUUUUUCUACUGCAAUUGUAAGCUCUUUUAAAGGCAGGGAACUUAUCUUACAUAUUGAUGAAGCAGCAAGUGCAUUUUCAGCUUUAUAGAAAUAAUAACCAUCUAUGUUUUAGAAGAUCUUAACACAGCUUGAUGUGGCUUGUGAGGCCAAAAGGGACAUUUGCUGAGUGUAGAACUGUUUUCACAAGCCCUUACUCAUGUCAGUUAUACAUGCAAGAACCAGCUCUUUGAAACCAAUAACACUGCUUGUAUGAAGAUUGUAUGAAUAUCUGUAGGAUUGGACUUCCUUGAUCCUUGCAUAGAGAUUUUAUUGAUGUAAACUCUGUUUUGCAUGCACAUAUCAAUUCACUGUUUUGAAUGUACGUAUAAAGAAGACAUGUAAAAAAAUAUGUAUAGUUUAUUUCAAAAUUAAACUGCUUUAUUCUUUGCUGAUGUGAAAUAAAUGUUAUCUUGAAA
Long non-coding RNA from Alligator mississippiensis (American alligator), 2023 nucleotides. RefSeq lists it as uncharacterized. The transcript has 2 exons. The record is from RefSeq and is a predicted model, not a curated record. Lineage: Eukaryota; Metazoa; Chordata; Crocodylia; Alligatoridae.